Saccostrea echinata is the source of this 98-nucleotide long non-coding RNA. RefSeq lists it as uncharacterized. The record is from RefSeq and is a predicted model, not a curated record. Lineage: Eukaryota; Metazoa; Mollusca; Bivalvia; Ostreida; Ostreidae. The transcript is spliced from 3 exons.
GCCAGUGUGGAUCCAAUACUUGUUGUUCAGGUUACCACAUGAAAGAUGGAUUAUGUAGAGUUUGUGAAGAUGGUACAUAUGGAAUGAACUGUAGCGAA